CACGUAGGGCGCAAGCGUUGUCCGGAAUUAUUGGGCGUAAAGAGCUCGUAGGCGGACUGUCACGUCCGCUGUGAAAAGCUAGGGCUUAACCCUGGCCUUGCAGUGGAUACGGGCAGACUAGAGGUAGGUAGGGGAGAAUGGAAUUCCCGGUGUAGCGGUGAAAUGCGCAGAUAUCGGGAAGAACACCCGUGGCGAAGGCGGUUCUCUGGGACGGUACUGACGCUGAGACGCGAAAGCGUGGGGAGCGAACAGG
This 253-nucleotide ribosomal RNA is filed under the name uncultured bacterium. RNAcentral describes it as "partial 16S ribosomal RNA". It matches the Rfam family "Bacterial small subunit ribosomal RNA", at positions 524 to 776 of the family's 1533-position model. The record is from RNAcentral.